UGGGGAAUAUUGGGCAAUGGGCGAAAGCCUGACCCAGCGACGCCGCGUGGGGGAUGAAGGCCUUCGGGUUGUAAAGCCCUUUCGUGCGGAAAGAACAGCCCUGUAGUUAAUACCUGCAGGGUUUGACGGUACCGCAGGAAGAAGCACCGGCUAACUCCGUGCCAGCAGCCGCGGUAAUACGGAGGGUGCAAGCGUUGUUCGGAAUUUUUGGGCGUAAAGGGCGCGUAGGUGGUUGUGAUAGUCAGAUGUGAAAUCCUUUGGCUUAA
Molecule: ribosomal RNA, 266 nt
Filed under: uncultured bacterium
Lineage: Bacteria
Description: partial 16S ribosomal RNA
Rfam family: Bacterial small subunit ribosomal RNA
Source: RNAcentral